Molecule: ribosomal RNA, 361 nt
Filed under: uncultured bacterium
Lineage: Bacteria
Description: bacterial SSU rRNA
Rfam family: Bacterial small subunit ribosomal RNA
Source: RNAcentral
AACGAACGCUGGCGGCAGGCCUAAUACAUGCAAGUCGAACGCUCGUAGCAAUACGAGAGUGGCAGACGGGUGAGUAACACGUGGGAACCUUCCCUAUGGUUCGGAAUAGCUCAGGGAAACUUGAGGUAAUACCGGAUAAGCCCUUACGGGGAAAGAUUUAUCGCCAUUGGAUGGGCCCGCGUCGGAUUAGCUAGUUGGUGGGGUAACGGCCUACCAAGGCGACGAUCCGUAGCUGGUCUGAGAGGANGAUCAGCCACACUGGACUGAGACACGGCCCAGACUCCUACGGGAGGCAGCAGUAGGGAAUAUUGCGCAAUGGGCGAAAGCCUGACGCAGCGACGCCGCGUGAGGGAUGACGGCC